Carica papaya (papaya) is the source of this 615-nucleotide non-coding RNA. NCBI's taxonomy places the organism in Eukaryota, Viridiplantae, Streptophyta, Magnoliopsida, Brassicales, Caricaceae. The record is from RefSeq and is a predicted model, not a curated record.
AGUUGGUCUACUGUAUCAGUGACCUUAUAGAUCAGUUCCCGGACAUCCUUGAUCUUCUCGCAACGUAUCUUCUAGCUAUAGUUCGGUUCAAGGUCAAGUGCGUUUGCGUUUUCCAUAUCAGAGAAAGAACGGCUUGCAGGUAUGAGUGGCCAAGAGAAUGUAAAGCAGCAAGAAGAGUGUUCAGUCCAGCCAUCUAUUUGACAGUUCAACAUUUUCCUACUGAGAUUGGUCUCUGUUCCACUAAAUAAAAAAUAGUAAAGGAUUGAUUUCUCAAGUUCUUAGAAAGGGGUGUUGGAAAAGCUUAGAUAUGUUUUCUGACAAAUGCACUCAAAUUAAACAUUGAAAAUGGUCAAGAGUUGUAAAAAAACACAAGAUCAUUUCUACACCAACGCAUCAAUGCAUCACACUUUUAUGUUGUUUUUCCAUUCUACUCUCAAUCAAGUCCCUGAAUGUAAGGAGUAUCAGGUGGGUGACCCUGACCUUAUUCUGACUGUGUCUGAGAAAGAUGCAAGGCUAAGAGGUCACCUGAUUGAUUGCACAGUAUAGUUGCCAUGGUCAAAAUCUUAAUGUUGUUAAAAGUAACUAGUGUGGUAAACUGUACUUCCAAAAAAUAUU